RNAcentral lists this ribosomal RNA (349 nucleotides) under Pseudomonas aeruginosa. Its description in RNAcentral is "bacterial SSU rRNA". It matches the Rfam family "Bacterial small subunit ribosomal RNA", at positions 1 to 348 of the family's 1533-position model. Lineage: Bacteria; Pseudomonadati; Pseudomonadota; Gammaproteobacteria; Pseudomonadales; Pseudomonadaceae. RNAcentral also lists the same sequence under 1 other name. The record is from RNAcentral.
AAAUUGAAGAGUUUGAUCAUGGCUCAGAUUGAACGCUGGCGGCAGGCCUAACACAUGCAAGUCGAGCGGUAGCACAGAGAGCUUGCUCUCGGGUGACGAGCGGCGGACGGGUGAGUAAUGUCUGGGAAACUGCCUGAUGGAGGGGGAUAACUACUGGAAACGGUAGCUAAUACCGCAUAAUGUCGCAAGACCAAAGUGGGGGACCUUCGGGCCUCAUGCCAUCAGAUGUGCCCAGAUGGGAUUAGCUAGUAGGUGGGGUAACGGCUCACCUAGGCGACGAUCCCUAGCUGGUCUGAGAGGAUGACCAGCCACACUGGAACUGAGACACGGUCCAGACUCCUACGGGAGG